CUGGGAAGUAUGGUCGCAAGGCUGAAACUUAAAGGAAUUGGCGGGGGAGCACUACAAGGGGUGCGGCGUGCGGUUUAAUCUAAUUCAACACAGAGAAUCUCACCAGAAGCGACGGCAGGAUGAAGGUCAGGUUAAAGGCCUUACCCAACAAGCCGAGAGGUAGUGCAUGGCCGUCGUCAGCUCGUGCCGUAAGGUGUCCUGUUAAGUCAGGCAACGAGCGAGACCUAUACUUACAAUUGCUAACAAGCUUUGCGAUUGAGCACAUUGUGAGAACUGCCCUUGAAAAGGGGAGGAAGGUGUAGGCUACGGUAGGUCUGUAUGCUCCGAAUCUUCUGGGCUACACGCGCGCAACAAUGGCAGAAACAAUGGGAUGCGACUCCGAAAGGAGAAGCCAAUCUUCUAAAUUCUGUCUUAGUCCAGAUCGAGGAUUGUAACUCAUCCUCGUGACGUUGGAAUCCCUAGUAAUCAGAUUUUAUCAAAGUCUGGUGAACAUGUCCCUGCUCCUUGCACACACCGCCCGUCAAACCACCCGAGUAGGGUUUAAAUGAGGCUUAAUUUUAAAUUAAGUCGAAUCUAAGCUCAGCGAGGAGGGUUAAGUCGUCACAAGGUAGCCGUAGGGGAACCUGCGGCUG
RNAcentral lists this ribosomal RNA (632 nucleotides) under marine metagenome. Its description in RNAcentral is "bacterial SSU rRNA". It matches the Rfam family "Archaeal small subunit ribosomal RNA", at positions 829 to 1467 of the family's 1478-position model. The record is from RNAcentral.